RNAcentral lists this ribosomal RNA (375 nucleotides) under uncultured myxomycete. Its description in RNAcentral is "SSU rRNA". It matches the Rfam family "Eukaryotic small subunit ribosomal RNA", at positions 77 to 405 of the family's 1831-position model. The record is from RNAcentral. Lineage: Eukaryota; Evosea; Eumycetozoa.
CUCUCUGAAUCUGCGUACGGCUCCGCACACCAGUUGUAAACCAAAGCAAGCAAGCCCGGUCUCGACGCCUUUCGGGGCUAGGGGCUGGGCUACAAGGAUAACCCUGGUAAUUCUGAGGCUAAUACUUGACACGGAACCUGCCGACUGGGCCUCGGUCCGGGAGGCAGGGGAUGUGCGACCAUCGGGCCAAAGAAACCGGAAAGAGCGCACGUUCAGACCACUUAAAAAGGCCACGGGGUCCUUCGGGAUCCCGGGGCUGUGGCUCUUGCAGCGUGCUUCUGACCUAUCAACUAGACGGCAGCCUAAGGGACAUGCUUUGGUGACAACGGGUACAGAGGAUAAGGGUUCGAUCCUGGAGAGUGGGCCUGAGAGAUU